AUUGCCCUACGGGGGGCAGCAGUGAGGAAUAUUGGUCAAUGGGAGAGAUCCUGAACCAGCCAAGCCGCGUGAGGGAAGACGGCCCUAUGGGUUGUAAACCUCUUUUGUCGGAGAACAAAACCCGGGACGUGUCCCGGACUGCGUGUAUCCGAAGAAAAAGCAUCGGCUAACUCCGUGCCAGCAGCCGCGGUAAUACGUAGGUGGCAAGCGUUGUCCGGAUUUAUUGGGCGUAAAGCGAGUGCAGGCGGGUCAAUAAGUCUGAUGUGAAAGCCUUCGGCUCAACCGGAGAAU
This 291-nucleotide ribosomal RNA is filed under the name uncultured bacterium. Its description in RNAcentral is "partial 16S ribosomal RNA". It matches the Rfam family "Bacterial small subunit ribosomal RNA", at positions 333 to 621 of the family's 1533-position model. The record is from RNAcentral.